AUUGAACGCUGGCGGCAGGCCUAACACAUGCAAGUCGAGCGGAGCGGCGGUCGGGUGAGUAAUGCCUAUGAAUCUGCCUGGUAGUGGGGGAUAACGUCCGGAAACGGGCGCUAAUACAGCAUACUAUCAGAUGAGCCUAGGUCGGAUUAGCUAGUUGUGGGGGUAAAGGCAUACCAAGGCCACGCUCCGUAGCUGGUCUGAGAGGAUGAUCAGCCCAACUGGAACUGAGACACGGUCCAGACUCCUACGGGAGGCAGCAGUGGGGAAUAGUGGACAAUGGGCGAAAGCCUGAUGCAGCCAUGCCGCGUGUGUGAAGAAGGUCUUCGGAUUGUAAAGCACUUUAAGUUGGGAGGCGUUACCAACAGAAUAAGCACCGGCUAACUUCGUGCCAGCAGCCGCGGUAAUAC
RNAcentral lists this ribosomal RNA (407 nucleotides) under uncultured bacterium. Its description in RNAcentral is "partial 16S ribosomal RNA". It matches the Rfam family "Bacterial small subunit ribosomal RNA", at positions 30 to 526 of the family's 1533-position model. The record is from RNAcentral.